CAUCUGGUUAUAAAAAAGUUCGGACUGGCAUAUUGAGACGGAGGACAAUCUGCAGGAAAAAAGCAUGUGGUGUGGGCUACAGAUGGAAAAAAGGAAAAUGCCGCUUCUACAAAUGCCCAUCUGGUUAUAAAAAAGUUCGGACUGGCAUAUGGAGACGGAGGACAAUCUGCAGGAAAAAAGCAUGUGGUGUGGGCUACAGACGAAAGAAAGGAAAAUGCCGCUUCUACAAAUGCCCAUCUGGUUAUAAAAAAGUUCGGACUGGCAUAUGGAGACGGAGGACAAUCUGCAGGAAAAAAGCAUGUGGUGUGGGCUACAGAUGGAAAAAAGGAAAAUGCCGCUGUAAGUUGUGUACUAACCAAGAAAUAAAGCACUUC
Long non-coding RNA from Lineus longissimus, 374 nucleotides. RefSeq lists it as uncharacterized. NCBI's taxonomy places the organism in Eukaryota, Metazoa, Nemertea, Pilidiophora, Heteronemertea, Lineidae. The record is from RefSeq and is a predicted model, not a curated record. The transcript is spliced from 6 exons.